Long non-coding RNA from Passer domesticus (house sparrow), 858 nucleotides. RefSeq lists it as uncharacterized. The transcript has 5 exons. The record is from RefSeq and is a predicted model, not a curated record. Lineage: Eukaryota; Metazoa; Chordata; Aves; Passeriformes; Passeridae.
CAUGUGCUUUUUAAAACAAACACUCUGUUAAUUUAGGGGUUUCAGCUGAACCAUGGAAAUCUGUAAAUAUUCAUAGCAGACAAUAUAGUUGUCCUUAGUUCCUCUUUUGUGAAGGAGCAAUCCCCCAACAUCAUCUUCACUUGAAAAAUACCAGCCUGUCAGGCAGGGAUACAUGCACUUACUGAUUAAUACCUCUGAGUUAUAGUUUUAAAGAACACAAUUACAAAUUUGCAAAAGGAAAACUGUCCAGAUGAUUGUAAUUCUGUGCAUAUAUAAUUAACAAAAUCCUGGAAACAUUAAGGACCACAGACUGGCAUUUGCACUCAUUUCUCUCAGAUGGGGAGUGAGUUUCUCCAGUUAUUUAGCAGACUGGUAACUGUGGAAUGGUUUAGGUUGGAAGGGACCCUAAAAAUCACUUGGAUCCAACCCUCUCCCAUGGGCAGGGACACCACCCACUAGAUCAGUAUUUUUACUAAACCUGAGACCUAAAUCAAGUCUCAAGUUCUUGAAAUCACUCUUAAGCUUUUAAUUGCUGCUUGCAGCCAUUUCAUUUCUGACUUUUUCAACCUCCCUCCCUUUCCACCACCACCACAAAGGAGAUCAGGACAUCAGAAAUCCUGAUUACACCUCAGGCAGCCCCUGCAAACACUUCAGAACCAAAUUUGUUGCCUGCUGCACUUGAAGCAGACAUGACAACCACAGCUGCAGAAAUCCUUUCCACACUGGCUGAAGCAUCAGUCUCCCCUACUGCUGGACCUGCAGAUGUAACCACAACAACAGUCUCUCCUAGUACUACACCAGCAGACAUUACCACUACAACAGUCUCUCCUACUGCUGGACCUGCAGAUGUGACCACAA